GGCGUUGGUUUCCCCGACUGCAGCCACAGACUGAGUGUGUCCAUCCCCACAGCUCCUGCCAAUUCCAACACUGAGAGUCUGUGUUUGGACGCCUCCAGUGACCACUGGCUCCGCGAGUGAUGACUCACACCCAUCACUCAUCCCCUUCCUGAGUCAGCCGCGGGACCCUCUGCAGGGAGGCGUGCGAGUCAUCGAGAGAACAGCAUUAUUAGUGGCAAACAUCUUGAAGCAAACAAAAUGUGGUCAAGUUGAGCUAACAUCACAUUAUUUUCCUGAAGAAUGCUGUGUGAACUCACGGAGUCCGUCUGCACUAAUCAGUCCAGUGAACGGCUUCCUUCCUUCUGGCAGAGUUCCUUCUCCAGCAUUUCCUCCAAAUCCCACCCAGCAUUAAUGACAUCUGUCUAUAAACAUUAGUUUUAGUCUCAAAUAUUUUUUCCCUCAAAACUCAGAAGCUUAGUGAGAAAAUAAAAAUCACAAUGAGCAA
RNAcentral lists this long non-coding RNA (484 nucleotides) under Homo sapiens (human). RNAcentral's name for it is "HSALNT0317779". Lineage: Eukaryota; Metazoa; Chordata; Mammalia; Primates; Hominidae. The record is from RNAcentral.